CCCAGGCUUGGUGGGAUGCUGGGUCUCAGUAAACUGGGGUCUCUGCUUCCUGUCCUCUCGUGAGAAGACUGGGGCGGCGCAGCCUCCAGCUCCAGUCUGUUUGUCCAGGGAGUGGGGAGCUGGCGCAGUUUGUCAAGCAGCGGGGGUCGGUGGUCACGCCAGCCCUCUGUGGUCAGGGCCAGUGAGUGUCAGCAGGCGGGACACUGUUUGGACAGAAAGGACCUGCCUUUCUGUCAACACUGCAGCAUUUGUCUCCUGCCGCCCCCGUGGGAGUUUGUUACCGGAAGUCUUUGGGUCUCCCAGGGCAGCGAACACUCUCAAGACGAGCCGCAGGCAGCUGCUGGGCAGGACUCCGGCGUGGUUCCAUUCUCUGGCUUGGCCAAUAAGUCCAAGUCGAGUUUGGUUCAAAGAAUAUUUCUAGUUGUCUACAGGAAAGUUGGAAAGAAAGAAUUGCUUCUGUUGUUUGAUGAGCGGCUUUUGCCAUGCAGGUGGAGGAAGGCUGUGGCCCAGGAAACAGGCUUUGGAGAGGGAGAGGGAUGACUUUCCUUCCAUGUCAGAUUAUAACCCACAUCACUGCUGAUCUCGAAAAUCAUCGGAAGACAGAUGUGGAAGGAAUGGAGCUCUGCGUCCUGCCGUUCCAAAGUCCUGAAUGAGCAGGAUCCUGGCUCCAAUAGAAGGAAAAUCAUGCAUAGCUGCUGUGAACCUGUAACCUUGCCACUUUCCCUGUUGAUUGGAGAUGUGAUCUUGGCAACAGGAAAAUCAUCUUCUCUUUUGAAAACAGUGAUUAUUUACAGGGAAAGUGUAGGUUGUUGUUUGUUGCUUAGUCGCUAAGUCAUGUCUGACUCUUUUGUGACCCCAAAGACUGUGUUCCACCAGGGUCCUCUGUCCACGGGAUUUCUCAGGCAAGAAUACUAGAGUGGGUUGUCAUCUUCUUCUCCAGGGGAUCUUCCCAGAUCAAGGAUCAAACCUGCAUUGGUUCUUUACUGCUGAGCUACCAGGGAAGUGCCUUUCAGAGUUCUAGUUCACUCUGAAUGGUUUCCUUUAUAAUUCUGUGUAUUUCAUUAAUUUAAAAACAUUAUGCCAUGAAGGUAUCCAUAGACCUUGCCAGACUGUUCUUCGAAUCCAUGCACAGAAGGUGUUGGGACCCUGUGGGAGGGGUGCACCCUUGGACUGGAGGAGGGCGGAGGCUGUGCAGGUCCUGGCAGAAGUGCCUCUGUUGCCCUCCAUACCAGCAUUUGCAGUGAGGUGGGGGGGGGGUGACCCUCAUUAGCUAUUAGGACAAAUUAUAUGCCUAUUCAUUUAUGUACAGAAUAAUGACACAAUUACAUGUGUGGAAUGUACAUGGAAUUUUGACUUAGAUGAAAUUACCUUUUGAAGCAAUUUUUUUUAAUCGCUUAAAACUGCAAAGGUGAGUUUCUUACAUUCAGUAAGGACAAGUUGAUGUAAAUAGAUAGAAAGACAAGGUUUAGCAGACAAUAUAGCUUAAAAGUUCUUUUUUGGGGGGACUGGUUUUUUGAGGUAGUGAAGCAUGUAGUAAUUCGUGAUAUAACCCCUUUUGGAGUAGGUUGACACUGAUGUUCAAUUGAACUUUGAUGAAUAAUUCAUUUCACAUGCCCAAGUGCAGAUAUAUGAGGCAUUUGAAUCACAGUAGAAUUCACUACCAUGUAUAAAAUAGAUAGGUAGUGGGAAGUUGCUGCAUAGCACAGGGAACUCAGUUGGGUGCUCUGUGAUGACCUAGAUGGGUGGGAUGGGGGUGUGUGGCAGGGAGGUUCAAGAGGGAGGGGAUAUAGGUAUACAUAUAAUUGAUUCACAUUGUUGUACAGAAGAAAAUAACACAACAUUGUAAAGCAAUUAUACUCCAGUUGAAAAACUAAAUUCCUGUACCCAAAGGGGGAAAAAAAAAGAAAUAGAUGAUUAUACUUAACUUCCGUAAUCAGAAUCCAAAGUACCACAACACCAGAAACUUUAACACAAUCGGCAAGAGCAGAAGCAAUUGUAUCUGCUUCACUGGCUGAAGCAAAGUCAUUAAAAAAAGUUUAACAACAAUUUCAUUUCUUGUUAGUUUCUUAUUUUCUCUUAGUUCUUUUGUGUGAUUUUCUAAGCCAGACAGUUUCUUAGGAAGGCAUAUCACGCAGGUAAGGAUUCCAUAGAUUGUGUGUGUCUGAUAGGCAGUCCCACCACCAGCAAGCAUGGGAACUGCUGUGUGUCAGCUGCUCCAUCUGGCCUGGGGAGAUGUGCACGCAGGCUCAGAGUCGUCUGUCUUUCUUUUGCUUCUGGAGAUGGUCCUGUCAUUGGUGAUCUUCUCAGACAACCUAGGACAAUAAUCAGGCCCAUAUUCCCUGGCCAAGAUUCCAUGUGUG
Molecule: long non-coding RNA, 2360 nt
Filed under: Capra hircus (goat)
Lineage: Eukaryota; Metazoa; Chordata; Mammalia; Artiodactyla; Bovidae
Description: lncRNA (ENSCHIG00000008093.1)
Source: RNAcentral